GGCGUGGUAGCCAAGUGGUAAGGCAGGGGUCUGCAAAACCCUUAUUCGUGGGUUCGAUUCCCACUCACGCCUCCA
Molecule: transfer RNA, 75 nt
Filed under: Candidatus Uhrbacteria bacterium
Lineage: Bacteria; Candidatus Uhriibacteriota
Description: tRNA-Cys
Rfam family: tRNA
About the family: Transfer RNA (tRNA) molecules are approximately 80 nucleotides in length. Their secondary structure includes four short double-helical elements and three loops (D, anti-codon, and T loops).
Source: RNAcentral